Molecule: long non-coding RNA, 2677 nt
Organism: Pristis pectinata (smalltooth sawfish)
Lineage: Eukaryota; Metazoa; Chordata; Chondrichthyes; Rhinopristiformes; Pristidae
Exons: 3
Source: RefSeq, a predicted model, not a curated record
GUUCUGAGGAGCUGGAGGCCCCGCUGGAGGCCCCGGCCUCCGCCUCCUCCUCGCUGUCGUCCGCCUCCGGUCCGACACGGCGCGGCGCCCCGGCGGGGCGGAGGAAGCGCGGCCCGCGGCGGAGCACCGGCGAGGUGCCAGAACCUAAAGCCCAUGAGGGUUUCAUUAUCAGCACACUUUAAAGGCUCUUAAGUAUGCAAAACUCCGAUCAGAACUUCAGGACAUCUUGAGCUCACACCUCUACCUGCAACCCAUUGCAUCAGUCAGCCUUGUUAACAGCUGCCCAGGACUGCGUUCUCUGGGCAUGAGCAACUUUGUCUCAGUACUACCAUCGGGGAGGAGGUACAGGAGCCUGAAGACCCACACUCAACAAUUCAGGAACAGCUUCUUCACCUCCGCCAUCAGAUUUCUGAACGGUCCAUAAACCCAUGAACCACACCUCAUUAUUCCUUUUUUUUGCAUUAUUUAUUUAUUUUUGUAACUUAUAGUAAUUUUUAUGUCUUUGCACUGUACUGCUGCCGCAAAACAACAAAUUUCAUGUCAAAUAAGUCAGCGAUAAUAAAUCUAAUUCUGACCUGUGUAGGACCUUAUCAAAAGCCUCCCAAAUGUCCAAACAUCCCGUAUCCACUGGUUCCCCCUCAUCUUCGCUGCUAGACAUACAGCAUCUUCAAAGAACUCCAAUGGAUUGGUCAAACAUGAUUUUCCUUUGUCGUUCUUGAUGUCACAUCCUUCAUUACAGAUUCCAGGCUAACAGGUCAGUGUUUCCCUAUUUUUCCUCCUCCUCCUUUCCUACAUGCUUUGAUUGCAUCAGCUACCUGCCAAUCUAUUGGAACAGUUCCAGAAUCUGUGGAACUUUGGAAGAUCGACAACCAGAGCAUCCACUAUCUACAGGAUUAGGAGGUUAAGGAGGCUUGGCCUGUCACCGAACAUUCUAAAAACUUCUACAGAUGUACUGUUGAAGGUGUCCUGACUGGUUGUAUCACGGUCUGGGAUGGCAAUUAAAAUGCACAGGAACAUAAGAAGCUGCAGAGAGUAGUGGACUCUGCUCAAUACCUCAUAGGCACAUCCCUCCCCACCAUCAGUAGUAUCUACAGGAGGCGCUGCCUCAAGAAGGCAACAUCCAUCAUCAAAGAUCCCCACCAUCCGGGCCAUGCCAUCUUCUCAUAGCUCCCAUUGGGCAGGAGGUACAGAAGCCUGAAGUCCCACAUCACCAGGUUCAGGAACAGCGACUUCCCUUCAACCAUUCUGUUCUUGAACCAACCGGCACAACCCUAAUCACUGCAGUUUAGCAACACUAUGUCCACUUUGAUCACUUUGCCCUAAAAUGGACUUCUUUGUUCUGUGUUCUUUCUUGUAAAAAUUGUGUUUAAUCUAUGUUUAAUUUAUGUUUUUCUUGUGAAUUCUGCUUAUCUGAUGCUAUGUGCCUGUGAUGCUUGGCAAGUAAGUUUUUCAUUUCACUUGUGCAUACAUGUACUUGUGCAUAUAAGGUAAGAUAAGAUUUCUUUAUUAGUCACAUGUACAUCAAAACACACAGUGAAAUGCAUCUUUUGCAUAGAGUGUUCUGGGGGCAGCCCGCAAGUGUUGCCACACUUCUGGUGCCAACAUAGCCUGCCCAAAACUUCCUAACCCGUACGUCUUUGGAAUGUGGGAGGAAACCGGAGCACCUGGAGGAAACCCACGCAGACACGGGUUUAAACUUGAAAUUGACUCGACUUUGACUACACAGCGACCUCCUUCAAAACUUGGAUGCAGAUCAUCGAGUCCUUGAGAUUUUUCUGUUUUCCAGUUUAUUAACUUCUCAAGUUGUAGUUCAUCAUUAGUACUAAUUCCUCCUUUGCUUUGGAACCCUGCUUCUCGGUAUUUCUGGGAAGAAUUUUUGUCUUCAGUGAAGAUAAUUACAAACUAUUUGUCUAAUUCCUCUUCCCCAUUAUAAAUUCUAACCUCUCUGUCUGUAGGGGAUCCACUUUUGCUCUCACUAGUCCUUCUAACAUAUUUUUUGCCACCCACACACCAGGGUCAACUUACAGUGGCCAAUUAACUGACUGACCCGCACGUCUUUGGGAUUUGGGAGGAGACUGGAUUCCUUCCCAGUCACAGGGAGAACCUGCAAACUCCACACAGACAGCACCGGAGAUCAGGAUUGAACCCGGGUCCAUGGAGAUGUGAGGGAGCAGCACUACCUGCUAAGUCAUUUUGUUGCCCUCUGUACAAAAGGACCAUCCUUUAAGCUACACAAUCACUCUGGGACACCAGCCUCCCCUCCUUGGACUCUGUCUUUACUUCUCGUUGUCUUGGUGAAGCAGCCAGCAUAAUCAAAAACCCCACUCACCUGGGUCAUUCUCUCUUCUCUCCUCUUCCAUCGAGUAGAAGAUACAGGAGCCUGAGGGCACGUACCACCAGACUUAAGGACAGCUUCUACCCCACUGUGAUAAGACCAUUGAACGGUUCCCUUAUACAAUGAGAUUGACUAUGACCACAUGAUCUACCUUGUUGUGACCUGGCACCUUAUUGCACUGCACUUUCUCUGUAGCUGUGAUACUUUACUCUGUACUGUUAUUGGUUUUACCUGUACUACAUCAAUGCACUCUGUACUAACCCAAUGUAACUGCACUGUGUAAUGAAUUGACCUGUAUGAUUGGUGUGCAAGACAAGUUUUUCACUGUACCUCGGUACAAGU